NACCUGGUUGAUCCUGCCAGGANNCNUNNGNUUCGGUUCAAGNNNUNAGNNNUNNANNNNNNANNNNANNGCGNNUUUCUACCCCAGUGGGUCUGAGAAUGGCUCCUUACAUCAACAGUGGCCUCCGGGAUAGAGUGUGCAUGGCACCACUNUGUCCAGNAUGGACAUUCCNNAACCUAGGGAUAAUACUCGCCUUNAACNGUGCCNNNGUGUUGNNUCNGNCANNNNUNGUUCCANNCCNCCCAGCUGNCCGUGCCAGUGGUGGANCGCGUCCAGCUGCUGGUGAAGACCAGUGCCUGNAACAAAUGGCAGCAUGUCCUGUUGACUCAGGCUGGUUCCUCCCCGGAACGCCUGCCUGGCAGAGUGGUGGCUCCUGCCACAGCAUUGCUUGAGCGCAUCUUCUGACCUAUCAGCUUGGAGUGUGGUGUGUUGGACCACCAUGGCAGUGACGGUUGACAUAGAAUCAGGGUUCUAUUCCGGAGAGGGAGCCUGGCGAGGCGGCCGCAUCCAAGGAAGGCAGCAGGCGCGCAAAUUACCCAAUGCUGACACAGGGAGGUAGUGACAAAAAAUAACAAUACCGGGCUUUUACGUCUGGUAAUUGGAAGCAAUUUAAAUCCCUUAACGAGGAACAAUUGGAGGGCAAGUCUGGUGCCAGCAGCCGCGGUAAUUCCAGCUCCAAUAGCGUAUAUUAAAGUUGUUGCAGUUAAAAAGCUCGUAGUUGGAUUUCUGGUCUGAUGCGUGGCCGACGGGGGUAACUCCGCCAGUAUGUCGUGUGUGUCUGCCAUCUUGCUAGUUAACCAGCUGCACUUAACUGGGCGGUUGGCGAUCUAGCUCAUUUACUUUGAAAAAAUUAGAGUGUUAAAGCAGGCUUGGCUAGAAUACAUUGCAUGGAAUAAUAAUUUAGGACUUUAUUUCUAUUUUAUUGGUUUCUAGAGAUAAAGUAAUGAUUGAUAGGGAUAGUUGGGGUGCUAGUAUUCACCGCCAGAGGUGAAAUUCUUGGAUCGGUGAAGACUAACUUAUGCGAAAGCAUUCACCAAGGAUGUCUUCUUUAAUCAAGAACGAAAGUUGGGGGAUCGAAGACGAUCAGAUACCGUCGUAGUCUCAACCAUAAACUAUACCAGCUAGGGAUUAAGUGGAAGUUGCUUUUACGACUCCAUUAGCACCUUAUGAGAAAUCAGAAAGUCUUCGGGUUCUGGGGGGAGUAUGGUCGCAAGGCUGAAACUUAAAGGAAUUGACGGAAGGGCACCACCAGGAGUGGAGCCUGCGGCUUAAUUUGACUCAACACGGGGAAACUUACCAGGUCCGGACAUAGUGAGGAUNNNNNNNNUNNNNNNNNNNNNNNNNNNCCNUNNANNNNNNNNNAAGGCCGCUCCUGAGUGGUGGAGGAUUUGUCUGGUUGAUCCCAAAACGAGUAGACAUCAUUGCCCGACUAGCCCCAGGCUUCGUGCUGUAGGGAUGGUGGCUGCUACCUGCAAGUGGGUCCUCCCACCGACGGUGCUGCACACUGCCUGAGAGCCCUGGGGGAUCGUCUUCUCAGUGGUGCUGUGUCCGCCCAACCAAGGGCAUGCAUGCUAGAGCCAACAGCAGGUCUGUGAUGCUCCCAGAUGUCCUGGGCUGCACGCGCACUACACUGGACUGGUGAAUGGGUGCUGCUACCAAACUGGCAAUUCUGCCUAGACCUGUCCAGGAGUGGAUGGGAAUCCUGCAGCCCAGCCCGUUGCUGGGGAUAGAUGCUUGCAACUGUCUGCCUUGAACGAGGAAUGCCUAGUAAGUGUGGGUCAUCAGCCCACACUGAUUGCGUCCCUGCCAUUUGUACACACCGCCCGUCGUUGCUACCGAUGGCAGCUGGAUAGAGCCACCUGGAAUGCCCCAGGGGGCCUGCCGCUCGUCUGCAAGUGCCCCCUGUGCUGAAUUCUGCAAUGUCCUGCUGCUAGAGGAAGCAAAAGUCGUAACAAGGUUG
Molecule: ribosomal RNA, 1960 nt
Filed under: Phacus triquetrus
Lineage: Eukaryota; Euglenozoa; Euglenophyceae; Euglenales; Phacaceae
Description: Phacus triqueter partial 18S ribosomal RNA
Rfam family: Eukaryotic small subunit ribosomal RNA
Source: RNAcentral